This 1740-nucleotide long non-coding RNA is filed under the name Sus scrofa (pig). RNAcentral's name for it is "lncRNA (ENSSSCG00025045225.1)". The stretch from base 639 to 711 matches the Rfam family "tRNA". Lineage: Eukaryota; Metazoa; Chordata; Mammalia; Artiodactyla; Suidae. The record is from RNAcentral.
UUUUUUGUUGGCUGUCAACUAGCAGGCUGCCCUCUGCUCCUAGAGGCAGGCCAUGCACAAUUCCUUGCCACAUGAGGUUCCCCAGCAGGGCUGCUUGCUUCCUCAGAGCAGCAAAGUAGAAAGAUUAUAGCAAGAUUGGUGCUACAAUCUCAUGUGACAUAAUCACAUGAAGAUAAUCAUGUACAUCCUGUCACCUUUGUCAUAUUCUAUGAGUUAAACGCAAUCCAGCGUUGCCGUGAGCUAUGGUGUAGGUCGCAGUUAAGGUUCAGAUCUGACAUUGCUGUGGCUGUGGCAUAGGCUGGCAGCUGUAGCUCUGAUUCGACCUUUGGCCUGGGAACCUCCAUAUGCCUCAGGCGCAGACCUAAAAAGACAAAAGACAAAAAAAAAAAAAAAAGAAAAAAAAAACCACAACACUGCUGAGAUAAACACAGCGUAAAUAAAUGAAGAGGCAUGCCACCUUCAUAGAUUAGAAAAUUCAGUAUUAUUAAAAUGUCAGUUCUCUUUAAAUGGAUCUAUAUUCAACAUCCUGAUCAAAAUCUCAUCAGAAUCUUUCUUGUAGAAAUUAACAAAGUAAUUCUAACAUUUAUUUGAAAUUUCAGUGCGUUUAGAAAAUAACUUUAAAAAACAUCUUCAGGAGUUCCCUGGUGGCCUAGCAGUUAAGGAUUCAGCAUUGUCACUGCUGUGACUCAAGUUCAUGCCCUGAUCCGGGAACUUCUGCAUGGUAAGGGUGCAACCCCCCCAAAAAAAUUUUUUGAAAAAAAAGCAACUAAAUUGAAAGACUCAUUAUCACCUGUUUUCAAGACUUACUAUAAACAUACAGUAAUUAAGACAAAAAUAACAAGAUAAUUCAAUGGGGAAAGAAGAGUUGUUUCAAUCAACUGUGCUGGAUCAAAUGUAUGUUGUAUGAAAAAAAAAAUGAAACUCAAUCUCUACUUCACACUUUAUACAAAAAUUUACUUGAAUUUACUUGAAAUGAAAGAUAUACCUAAAGAUAAAACUAAAUUAUGAUACUUCUAGAAAAAAAUAUAGAAUACCUUCACAAGGUUUUGAAGUAGAAAAAAUUUCUUAGAUAAGACAACAAAAAAAGCAUUAAUCAUAAGGAAAAAAUUAGUAAAUUAGGCUAUAACAAAAUUUAAAACAUAGAUCUUCAAAAGAUCCCAGAGAGAAAUUGAAAAAGCAAAUCUCAGACUUGGUGAAAACAUCCAAUAAAGAUCUUGAAUCAAGGAUAAAGUAGCACCGAACUAAAAGAGUUUAGAAGUGUCCUUAAAAUUUAAACAUAUCUAAACCAACUUAAACAUAUGUUUAAAUUUUCUCAGCCUCAACACUAUUGAGAUUUGGGGCUAGAUGGUUCUUUGCUGUGGAUGCUGUCCUGUGCAUUGCAAAACAUUCAUUACUGGCCUCUACCCACUGGAUUCUAGUAGCACCUGCCCAGCAUGACAAAAAUGUCCCCAAACACUGCCAGAUGUCCUCUAGAGUGCAAAACUGUCCCUAGUUGAGAAACACUUAUCUAUUCUAUGGCCCAGCCAUUGAAUAUCUAGCUAUUUAGUCAAAAGAAAUGAAAACAUACAUCAGAAAAGAGACUUGAGCACAGAAGUUCAUAUCAUGCUUUUUCUUAAUAGUUAAAAAAAAAAAAAUGGAAACAACCCAAAUGUCCCUUAACAAGUAAAUGGAUAAGUAAAUUAUAGUAUAUUCAUUCAUAUGAUGGACUACUUCAUGAAUAAUGUUGCUGUCACUGAUGUG